Long non-coding RNA from Papaver somniferum (opium poppy), 1161 nucleotides. RefSeq lists it as uncharacterized. The transcript has 2 exons. The record is from RefSeq and is a predicted model, not a curated record. Lineage: Eukaryota; Viridiplantae; Streptophyta; Magnoliopsida; Ranunculales; Papaveraceae.
UUUAUCUUUGUUUCCCGAAACAAGUUUGAAUAGAAGACGAACUUUUCAUCGUUUUAUUUGCCCACAUCUUCUUCCUUCUCCCUUUGUAAUUAUCGCUUAACCACCGCCGAAAGCAAGGGAAGAAAUCUUGUCUCAAAUCUGUGGUCAAGUCUCCAUAUUUUGGCUAGAGAUUGGACUGUGCACAGCAUCACCCUCCACUUUGGCUAGUGAUUUCACUCCCUCUUUUAAGAAAUGGAUGCAUUUAAUCAUGGUAUAUAAACUGUAUUCCAGUUUGGUAUUUAGCUCAAGGAGCAGGUUUUUGGAUAAGUUGCAGCAUCGCUGCCUUUGACUUCUGUGAACUGUUCGUGGUUUUAGAAAGUGUUAUUUACAUAAGAAUUCAUUUGUGAUUUGCUGUCACGAAGAACUAGACUCUACUUUAGGAACGUCGGGCCUAAGUGGCACCCCACCACCUCGGUGGCAACCCGGAAGAUCGUUGCGGUAACGGUGGCUGGUAACCAGAACUACCCUGACGGUGGCACUGGCCAUGAAUAGUAGAGUAAAUUUAUUUAUGGUUCUUGUUUAAACGGCAUUUGCGUAAGUAUUCCUUUCUCUACUUAAUCAUUGUUGUUGCUCCUUGCUUACGGAUUUAUAUUUCAUGCUCAACUUGUUUAGUUUAAUUUACCUUUUGAUUGCUUUACAAUCGGCACAUUAUUUUGUAACCCCUACUGAGCAUUCGCUCACCCCGUUUUGUUUUUCCUCCCCCACAGAGUACGGAGAGAAGUUGCGGUAGUAAUCCGGGCAGGCUUUAUCGCUUGGAAAGUUAGUAUUAUCUAAGCUUAUGAUAUUGUAUGUCACGGGGGGUAUCUGGGUAGUUUCAGUUUGCUUGAUUUGAGCCCAUGUCAUUUCUCUUGCACUUUGAUGUUAUAUAUAUGUUGGCUUCUACCGGAUCUUUAUAUGUUUUAAACUGAAAACUUGUCAGUUUCGUGUAUAAUGGGUCUGGUCUCGGGCUAUACAGACUAGUUUCUGAAUUCAUUUUUGUUGCCUAGAUGUUCUUGGCUUUUGGCUGUACGGACAACAUUCUCUACCGUUGUUCUUUUUGGCAUUUGUUUAAUCUAAGAUAGGAUCUGUACAGUGAAUUUCUAAGUGUAAUUAAUAGCUACUUAUAUUCAUUUUCCUGUGAAA